UCCGGAAGUAGAACGAGAAUUGAAUUAUGGCAGGUGCCAUAGACGGCAGGUGCCAUGUUAUCCAGAACAUUUGAUAUUGUUGAGGCGAUGAUAAAGCACGGACAACGUACGCUGUCGAAUCAUUGAUUCACAGCCCAGAAUGUUGCGUUCAAAGCCAAAAGUGAAGCGGAGUGUGCUGCAGUCCUUUGGUGCAGGUGUUGUGUGUAAGUGAGCAGAGACGAGUUUAAGCACCAGCCGGGGCUGGCUGAGGCAGCAGAGGAGAGAGUGUAUAAGACCGCACAAAGAGCUUGAAGGAUUUCUCAGGACACAAAUGAGAGAAGCAGCUGAGCCCGGGGUAGGAUGGAGGGGAUGCAAAGGAUUGAGAGGAGGAGGACGCGGAGCGGUGGAGAGAACUGUGCACUAGUGGGCUCCGUUUAGUCCCUAACCCGUACCUCUGGAUGUCUCUGCCCAGACUGGUCCGACCCAAAGUUUACACUAUUGUAAGGCACUGGGUACACCUGGAGGAUCGGACACGCUUUCUUUGCCAUAAUAGAGUAUGUUCUGUUAAGCAAAGGGCUCUCUAAUGCCUAACUGGAAUUUUCCUUGAAGCUGCUCCAUUUUUUACAUACACAACGUGAUUGAUCUGCUUUGCAUUCUGGAUCAGAGGCUCUAGGAUAAAGAAAAAGUAAAGCCUUAAUACGGUCACUUGGCUGAGUUUUGUAUCGCUGCUAAACUAUUUUUUAUAGUGGAUUCAUAUGGUUGUUGAAAUCUUCUAUGACCUUUUUUUAAUGGUAACCCAACCAGCGUUUACACUGUUUCCCAAGGUGUGUGGCAUAACAAGAAUGCCAUGUCAUACUGUUGAGCCUGUAUGCAUGCAUGUGUUACUGCCACUGUCAAUGUGUUUGGGGGCAUGCGAGUGUGCUCUUGUUAGUGUAAUGAGUAAAUUGUUUGAAAUGUCCCUACACCAUGUGAGCGCUGGGAUACUUUCAGAGAUACACAUAACUUCAAGCAAUGCUACUUUUCUGCUCAUGAGGCCAGUUGGAAUCCCCUUCUGAGUUUCUCUGCUUGUUGUGAUAUUGACACUAUAGUGCAUCUCUAAUGCAUUUCUGAUUGUAUGAUGGUUGCUGAUUUGUUAGCUCUGUGUUUAUUGCCUAUUCUAUUACUUUAUUGAGUAUAUUGCUGAAAUGUUUUUU
This is a long non-coding RNA of Gadus chalcogrammus (walleye pollock), 1172 nucleotides long. RefSeq lists it as uncharacterized. The record is from RefSeq and is a predicted model, not a curated record. Lineage: Eukaryota; Metazoa; Chordata; Actinopteri; Gadiformes; Gadidae. The transcript is spliced from 3 exons.